Molecule: long non-coding RNA, 3042 nt
Organism: Harpia harpyja (harpy eagle)
Lineage: Eukaryota; Metazoa; Chordata; Aves; Accipitriformes; Accipitridae
Exons: 3
Source: RefSeq, a predicted model, not a curated record
GCCUUCAGUGAGGGAGUCAAGUUUUUCAGAGUUUGGAUUGGGAAGCCCUGGAGCAGACUGAUGGGACCUCUCAUGUGCUCCCAAGCCAUGGACAUCUUGAUUGUGUGACUGUUUCCUAACACAGCUCUCAAGGACAUUGCAUAUUCUGCUUUGGAAAGCAGCAGCUUGAGAGACCUUCUCAAGUGUCUCCAUGACUGCAUUGUUAAUGGAAGAUGCAAAGGGAAUGUGGUAGCCCCUUCUUCAAUCUGGCAUCUUCUCAUUUCGAGGUUUGAUUUUACACUUCCCUUUGAGAAAGAAGCCCUGGAAUGUCCCUCUGUAGGACCUCUGAAGGCCACAGAAGACAGGGAGGAGGAGGAGGAGGAAGAGAAGAAGGAGAAGGAGGAAGAAGGUGAUAAGCAAAUUAAGACUGAUUCCCCAAAGAUGUGCUCUGAAGAGUCUUCCUCUUGGAUAGUUCCAGAGAGUCCUCCUACUGAACGUCUCCUUUCUCGAGGAAGGCAGUCUUGUUCUCCGUCCAUGCUAUCUGGCCUGAAGAAGGGAAAGGGGCCGGAAGGCAAAGGAAGAAGGUCACCUGGCAGGUGAGCCUCAUGGACAAAUGGAGGAGGGUGACCCUGUGUUCUUUGAUUUCUUGAAUGAGUUGUUCCCUUUGUAUGCAGUGUUGGUAUUGUCUCUGAAGGAUUGUUCAGGUUUGUCAUGGUGACUGAUAUUUGUGUGAAGAAUUACUCCAGGAACUGAGGAAAUGUUUCUCCUUCCUUUUUGAUGUCUAUGAACCUCCUCUCAUUUCAGUGUAAAAGAUGCCGCUUUUCAAAGAAAAAUGAAAUUCAGAACAUCUUCCCCCAGCAAGACAGAGCAGUGUCUGUGUUCACUGUUUUCUACCUUGCAUUCAGUCAGCUGGAGGACUCUGAUUUAAUUCCAAAUCUGGCGGUCAGGGCAGAUUGUCUGGCACAGGAGGAGUGCCAGAGAGAGCUAAUCGCCAGCUUUGCUUUUCUCCCUCAAACACUUCCUCCUUCUCCUGCACUGGCUGCCCCCAAAACACAGCCUUUAGUGUGUGACCACCACAGUGCAGUUCGCAGGAGGAGGGUCAUGGUCCCUCCAGGCUGUGGUUAUUGCAAAAGUCACUGCUGUUCUCAUCGUUCCCUCAAGAUGGGGACCACGUGUGGGUGUUACAGCUCAUGUGAGUGCUACAACUCAAGGUUUUCUUCCUCCACUGUUGACACGAAACCAAGUAGCCAAAUACACCCAAACCUCCCUCAGAACCGACGUCUGCUGCAGAGGCUGGCACUGAGCUACUCGUGAGCACAAGGUGAAGAACAGCCUCAUCCCGUACCCAUAUCAGCUCACCCUCUUGGCUAUUUUCAGCUUUCUGCCAAGAAUUCAGGAGAGCUUCUUGGUGGUGGAAAAGGACGGCAAGCACAAGCAAACUCUCAGUGUCAGACCUCAAACCGCACUUCCUGUUUUCAGAAAUGAAAAGAGGAUGUCUCCAUCACACCAGGAAACCAGUCCUCAGGUUAGGGUUUGGAUCAGCUCCGGCAGGGGCUGAAAUGGGAUAUGGGUGGAGGUCCCAGGGGAUGCUGGACAGGGUCAUUGAGGGCUCUUGGUGCCCUCAGGGCCUCCAACUCCUCCAACCAAGCCAUCUUCGUGGUUCAUGUGCUCUGACCUGCUGGAGGAUUUAAUCUCACAGUUCCUGCUCUGAAAAACUGCCAUUCCCUCCCCUCAUUUACCUCGUCAUGAGUGAGGUCAGCAUAAGAGUGUGGGGCCAGUAGGGAACAGAUGUCCCCCCCAACCCUGAGGGCUGUGCUGGGGUGAUUCUCCUGGUUCCUCUGCUACAGCUGCAGGUCCCUGCCCAGGGCAGUUUGUCUCAUAGGAGUUUCUGAGGGUGGAGCAGAACAUGCUGGAGGGCUGCACAGACCCUGUAGCCACUGGCAUCUCCACUGCUGAAUGUUCAGAGCACCUGAGGGAGGUGAGAAGCCUCCUAAAAAUCAUCCUCAGGCACCAAUGCAGGCUAGGUGGUCUCAUGAAACAUUGACAGAGAUUUGGCCAUGCUCCCCACUGCCAUCGAUUGGGAAAGAGGAGAGGACUGCUCCCUUCCUACACAGAGCCAUGGUGAAGAAGAAGCUGGAGAGUCUGCAGGGGCUACACAAACUGAACAUGUUCACCAACCUCAGCCCAGGAAACUUGAGCAGAAGCAGCUGUCCGAGGCAUGAAGGACUCCAGCUCCAGAGCUCUGGGGCUGGCCAGCUUUCUGUGCGAGCAAACUACACCCUGCAACUCUUGGAGACUUACCACAGGCAUUGGGAAGAGUGGAGCAGGAGAGCAGAGCUGAAUCAGCAGAGGAAUUACAAAGAGACUCAGUUAUUCUGGUAAAACUCUCCAGCUAUGGAUGGUGUCUCCCCAUCCCCUGCAGUGCCCUUCCCUCCACAACCAGGAGCACCCAGAGGAAGGGUGCUGGCACCCUCGUGGAAGGGCAGCAGGCUUGGGAGGUUGGCAUCUGGGAUGAGGCACCCUGCCAUCCAUGGGCCAGCUGUUGGACCCUGUAGGAUUUCUGGAUAAGACCAGAAAGUUGUGGGUGGCCAAAGAGUGAAGGAUUCCUCUGGUGCUUUCUAACUAGACACCGAGACACCUUGCCCUGUGGGUCAAUGCUUAUUUGGUCCAAAGUCUUUUCUUUUGCCCGACCCAUCGCCAGGCUGACUGCCUGCACAUGGGACCUUGUCAUUGCCUCAGACGCGAGGUCCUGUGUCCCAUCAUAGAAAGUAUGGAAACGUCAGAGGAAGCAGAUCCCAUAAUAUCCAGCCUGAACUAAGCCCAUAGCAUUUCUGUGCCUUCCUUCCCGUGCAAUAAAACCAAACCGUUCCUCCUUAAUGCCACAGCAUUGGGCAGCAGAUGACUCUCUGGGAUCCAAGGGAAAGGUAUCUGGACUUCUGGCAGAACAGAGGACAUGUGAAUAUGAUGGGAAAGUCUGUAAACAUGGUCCUGAGCCCUCCCAGGGAUGGGAGGCCCCCCCAUCUCUGUCUCUUCUAUAUUCCUAUUAAAUCCAGUCUCCACCUC